RNAcentral lists this non-coding RNA (77 nucleotides) under Tatumella morbirosei. Its description in RNAcentral is "Fluoride sequence". It matches the Rfam family "Fluoride riboswitch aptamer (crcB RNA motif)". The record is from Rfam by way of RNAcentral. Lineage: Bacteria; Pseudomonadati; Pseudomonadota; Gammaproteobacteria; Enterobacterales; Erwiniaceae.
UGACUUCGGGGUGAUGGUGUUCCACCUCAACCAACCGCCGCUCUGAGACCUGAGCGGCUGAUGACGCCUGACAUAAU